RNAcentral lists this transfer RNA (89 nucleotides) under Thermotogota bacterium. Its description in RNAcentral is "tRNA-Ser". It matches the Rfam family "tRNA". Rfam says of the family: Transfer RNA (tRNA) molecules are approximately 80 nucleotides in length. Lineage: Bacteria; Thermotogati; Thermotogota. The record is from RNAcentral. RNAcentral also lists the same sequence under 1 other name.
GGAGAGAUGGCCGAGCGGUCUAAGGCGCACGCCUGGAGAGCGUGUUACGCUAACCCCGUACGUGGGUUCAAAUCCCACUCUCUCCGCCA